GAAACUUUCGCAAAUAUCGGUUGUUAGGUGUAGGCCACGGUGUGUGUAGGCUGUGGGGAUCGAGUUGGGGUGGAGAUUCGCGUUGCGUUUUUAGAUACUGGCACUUUGUUGACCAGUGUGGGGCAUUUUGAGGUCGGCAGUCAUUUACGGAGUUUGACUUGUAAACUACGAGAAACAGAAAUCGUGCAGCUAUGAGCUUCUUCUCGAGAAUGUUUGGCGGUGGGAAGGGCGGCGAAAAAGCUCCUUCCCCUGGAGAGGCAAUUCAGAGAUUGCGUGAGAUAGAGGAAAUGUUAAAUAAGAAGCAGGAUUUUCUCGAGUCCAAGGUAAAACUAGAGUUAGAUCAAGCCAAAAAGCACGGAACGAAGAACAAGAGAGCCGCCCUUGCUGCUUUGAAGCGGAAGCGCAGGUAUGAGAAGCAGCUUGCACAGAUCGAUGGCACCCUGACCACCAUAGAGUUUCAGCGAGAAGCACUUGAAAAUGCUAACACCAACACAGAAGUUCUCAAGAUCAUGGGCCUGGCUGCCAAGGCCCUCAAGAAUGCUCACGAAAACAUGGAUGUGGACAAGGUGCACGACCUCAUGGAUGAGGUGCAGGAACAGCAGGAAAUUGCCAAUGAAAUUUCGGAGGCAAUCUCUAACCCUGUUGGAUUUGGCACUGAUGUGGAUGACGAUGAGCUGCUCGAGGAGCUAGAGUCGCUGGAGCAAGAAGAGCUGGACGAGAAGUUGAUCGACGUGGCUGGUCCAGCUACGGAGAACCUGCCCGAGGUGCCCACGGCAGAACCUGCCCGCGUCCCUGCAGCUGCAUCCAAGGCAAAGGUUGCAGUGGAGGAAGACCCAGACAUGAUGGAGCUGGCUAAAUGGGCCUCCUGAAUGAAUAAUGUUGUUCACACACACACACACCUGUCUUGACAUCCGCAAGCAGCGCUCCUGGAGUUCCGUUACUUUGACUUGAGCUACUGCCACUGGAACAAUGAUUCAGUCACCUUUGUUGGUUAGCUGCAAGAAGGGUGGCCGGUACAGCUUUGUAUGGAAACCAAAUGCUACCUAAAAUUGCUGCCUUGCUGUAUUUUCACGAAAAUAGGGCAGUUGUGAUGUUCUUUUAAGCAGACUUAGCAUGGUAGGGUGUCCUUUCUAGUUUUCAGCUGUGUAAAUAUAUUCAGUUAAUAAAAUACAAUUUCAUAACCUGCAUAUGCAGGACAAACUGCAA
Molecule: RNA transcript, 1206 nt
Organism: Ixodes scapularis (black-legged tick)
Lineage: Eukaryota; Metazoa; Arthropoda; Arachnida; Ixodida; Ixodidae
Gene: shrb
Gene name: charged multivesicular body protein 4b
Exons: 6
Source: RefSeq, a predicted model, not a curated record